This 21-nucleotide ribosomal RNA is filed under the name Thamnobryum sandei. RNAcentral's name for it is "partial 26S ribosomal RNA". Lineage: Eukaryota; Viridiplantae; Streptophyta; Bryopsida; Hypnales; Neckeraceae. The record is from RNAcentral.
CAGACCUCUAAACGGAAAAGA